AGUGAACGCUGGCGGUAGGCCUAACACAUGCAAGUCGAACGGCAGCACAGUAAGAGCUUGCUCUUACGGGUGGCGAGUGGCGGACGGGUGAGGAAUACAUCGGAAUCUACUUUUUCGUGGGGGAUAACGUAGGGAAACUUACGCUAAUACCGCAUACGACCUACGGGUGAAAGCAGUGGAUCUUCGGACCUUGCGCGAUUGAAUGAGCCGAUGUCGGAUUAGCUAGUUGGCGGGGUAAAGGCCCACCAAGGCGACGAUCCGUAGCUGGUCUGAGAGGAUGAUCAGCCACACUGGAACUGAGACACGGUCCAGACUCCUACGGGAGGCAGCAGUGGGGAAUAUUGGACAAUGGGCGCAAGCCUGAUCCAGCAAUACCGCGUGGGUGAAGAAGGCCUUCGGGUUGUAAAGCCCUUUUGUUGGGAAAGAAAAGAAGCAGGUUAAUACCCCGCUGUUCUGACGGUACCCAAAGAAUAAGCACCGGCUAACUUCGUG
RNAcentral lists this ribosomal RNA (492 nucleotides) under uncultured bacterium. RNAcentral's name for it is "partial 16S ribosomal RNA". It matches the Rfam family "Bacterial small subunit ribosomal RNA", at positions 29 to 507 of the family's 1533-position model. The record is from RNAcentral.